GACGAACGCUGGCGGCGUGCUUAACACAUGCAAGUCGAACGGAAAUGCCCUGCUUUUGUGGGGUGCUCGAGUGGCGAACGGGUGAGUAACACGUGAGUAACCUGCCCUUGACUUUGGGAUAACUUCAUGAAACUGGGGCUAAUACCGGAUAGGAGCUCCUGCUGCAUGGUGGGGGUUGGAAAGUUUCGGCGGUUGGGGAUGGACUCGCGGCUUAUCAGCUUGUUGGUGGGGUAGUGGCUUACCAAGGCUUUGACGGGUAGCCGGCCUGAGAGGGUGACCGGCCACAUUGGGACUGAGAUACGGCACAGACUCAUAUGGGAGGCAGCAGUGGGGAAUAUUGCACAAUGGGCGGAAGCAUGAUGCAGCAACGCCGCGUGCGGGAUGACGGCCUUCGGGUUGUAAACCGCUUUCGCCUGUGACGAAGCGUGAGUGACGGUAAUGGGUAAAGAAGCACCGGCUAACUACGUG
Molecule: ribosomal RNA, 468 nt
Filed under: uncultured bacterium
Lineage: Bacteria
Description: partial 16S ribosomal RNA
Rfam family: Bacterial small subunit ribosomal RNA
Source: RNAcentral